UAUACAAAAGUAUAUGAGGUACUUAGGCUUUUGAUGUCUAAAGAGUCAGUUUAAAUCUGAUUUGUAUAA
Molecule: transfer RNA, 69 nt
Filed under: Staphylinidae sp. BMNH 1274642
Lineage: Eukaryota; Metazoa; Arthropoda; Insecta; Coleoptera; Staphylinidae
Description: tRNA-Gln
Source: RNAcentral